GCAGUAGCCGCGGGAAAACAGAGGGUGCGAGCGUUAAUCGGAUUUACUGGGCGUAAAGCGUGCGUAGGCGGCUUCUUAAGUCGGAUGUGAAAUCCCUGAGCUUAACUUAGGAAUUGCAUUCGAUACUGGGAAGCUAGAGUAUGGGAGAGGAUGGUAGAAUUCCAGGUGUAGCGGUGAAAUGCGUAGAGAUCUGGAGGAAUACCGAUGGCGAAGGCAGCCAUCUGGCCUAAUACUGACGCUGAGGUACGAAAGCAUGGGGAGCAAACAGGAUUAGAUACCCCCGUAGUCCCUGUCUCUUAUAC
This 302-nucleotide ribosomal RNA is filed under the name uncultured bacterium. Its description in RNAcentral is "partial 16S ribosomal RNA". It matches the Rfam family "Bacterial small subunit ribosomal RNA", at positions 508 to 807 of the family's 1533-position model. The record is from RNAcentral.